CCUACGGGUGGCUGCAGUCAAGAAUAUUCCGCAAUGCACGAAAGUGUGACGGAGCGACGCCGCGUGGUGGAUGAAGGCUUUCGGGUCGUAAACACCUUUUAUUAGGGACGAACAAAUGACGGUACCUAAUGAAUAAGAGGUUGCUAACUCUGUGCCAGCAGCAGCGGUAAUACAGAGACCUCAAGCGUUAUCCGGAUUUAUUGGGCGUAAAGGGUCCGCAGGCGGUUUAGUCAGUCCUAUGUUAAAUCUUCAGGCUCAACCUGGAGACCGCGUGGGAUACUGCUAGACUAGAGGAUGGGAGAGGUGCAUGGAAUUGUCGGUGUAGGGGUAAAAUCCGUUAAGAUCGACAAGAACACCAAAUGCGAAGGCAGUGCACUGGAACAUUCCUGACGCUCAGGGACGAAAGCGUGGGUAGCGAAUGGGAUUAGAUACCCCAGUAGUC
Molecule: ribosomal RNA, 442 nt
Filed under: uncultured bacterium
Lineage: Bacteria
Description: bacterial SSU rRNA
Rfam family: Bacterial small subunit ribosomal RNA
Source: RNAcentral